RNAcentral lists this ribosomal RNA (460 nucleotides) under uncultured bacterium. RNAcentral's name for it is "partial 16S ribosomal RNA". It matches the Rfam family "Bacterial small subunit ribosomal RNA", at positions 338 to 795 of the family's 1533-position model. The record is from RNAcentral.
CCUACGGGAGGCAGCAGUGAGGAAUAUUGGUCACUGGGCGCUAGCCUGAACCAGCCACGUAGCGUGAAGGAUGACUGCCCUAUGGGUUGUAAACUUCUUUUAUAUGGGAAUAAAGUGCAGUAUGUAUACUUCUUUGCAUGUACCUUAUGAAUAAGGAUCGGCUAACCCCGUUCCAGCAGCCGCGGGAAUCCGGAGGAUCCGGGCGUUAACCGGAUUUAUUGGGGUUAAAGGGAGCGUAGGCGGGUUGUUAAGUCAGAUGUGAAAGUUUGCGGAUCAACCGUAAAAUUGCAGUUGAUACUGGCAUCCUUGAGUACAGGAGAGGUAGGCGGAAUUCGUGGUGUAGCGGUGAAAUGCUUAGAUAUCACGAAGAACUCCGAUUGCGAAGGCAGCCUGCUGGACUGUAACUGACGCUGAUGCUCGAAAGUGUGGGUAUCAAACAGGAUUAGAUACCCCUGUAGUC